UGGGGAAUUUUGGACAAUGGGGGCAACCCUGAUCCAGCCAUCCCGCGUGUGCGAUGAAGGCCUUCGGGUUGUAAAGCACUUUUAGCAGGAAAGAAACGGCUCUGGCUAAUACCUGGGGCAUCUGACGGUACCUGCAGAAUAAGCACCGGCUAACUACGUGCCAGCAGCCGCGGUAAUACGUAGGGUGCAAGCGUUAAUCGGAAUUACUGGGCGUAAAGCGUGCGCAGGCGGUUCGGAAAGAAAGAUGUGAAAUCCCAGGGCUUAACCUUGGAACUGCAUUUUUAACUACCGGGCUAGAGUGUGUCAGAGGGAGGUGGAAUUCCGCGUGUAGCAGUGAAAUGCGUAGAGAUGCGGAGGAACACCGAUGGCGAAGGCAGCCUCCUGGGAUAACACUGACGCUCAUGCACGAAAGCGUGGGGAGCAAACA
RNAcentral lists this ribosomal RNA (427 nucleotides) under uncultured Bordetella sp. RNAcentral describes it as "bacterial SSU rRNA". It matches the Rfam family "Bacterial small subunit ribosomal RNA", at positions 355 to 774 of the family's 1533-position model. Lineage: Bacteria; Pseudomonadati; Pseudomonadota; Betaproteobacteria; Burkholderiales; Alcaligenaceae. The record is from RNAcentral.